AUUAGUUCAAGAUUCGUUCACGACUCGUUCAUUUUACUGUUCGAGAGUCAAAGAGUCGGUCUUCCCAUCACUAUCUAGAAGACCUUAAACACAAGGAUGAAAUCGAUUGGUCGAUACACGUCAUUACUUUGUUUUUUUGGGUUUUUUUUUUUUCAAAAUGGACGACAGGACAUUUUGAACCCAGCGCUAAGAGUAUAGGAAUGGGCUGUGACGUAGACAACGUUUGUUUUAAUAAACGGACCCUAACGAUACGAUAACCAUAACGUUACCGUCCGGUAACCGAUAAUGACACGAAGUUUAAUGUGUGUCGAGUGCUUUAUUUACGCUGAAACCGCCAGAGGGCAAUGCUGGAUUCUGCUAUUAGCUACCGAGCUAACCUCGGCUAAUAACAAACAUGGCGACGGUUGAGGAGGUUGUGACGUCGUUCUGUGGGAUUCACUGAACACAGAGCGGCGUGCGGACGGAGAUUUCUCCUCCCUGUUCUUUUUCUGUCGUUGUCGUCACUGCCCCCACGAUUUCUAGCGGCACCAAACGAGAUAACUGCACAGGCUGCUGAUAAUCAAUAUCUCUAUGAGGGGAAACUCCCUUUUUGUCCACAAUCACGGUUCAAAAAGUCAUGAUAACUGUCGAGGCUUACAAUCAAAGCAGCGAUAAAAACUAUUGCAGGAAAGAGGGGAACGUCGACGUUCCCUCCGGGGGAUAAAAUCAGCAGGA
Long non-coding RNA from Cynoglossus semilaevis (tongue sole), 714 nucleotides. RefSeq lists it as uncharacterized. The record is from RefSeq and is a predicted model, not a curated record. The transcript is spliced from 2 exons. NCBI's taxonomy places the organism in Eukaryota, Metazoa, Chordata, Actinopteri, Pleuronectiformes, Cynoglossidae.